UACAAUUGGACUUCUAGUUCA
RNAcentral lists this small nuclear RNA (21 nucleotides) under Arabidopsis thaliana (thale cress). Its description in RNAcentral is "snRNA_06972". The record is from RNAcentral. Lineage: Eukaryota; Viridiplantae; Streptophyta; Magnoliopsida; Brassicales; Brassicaceae.